Molecule: ribosomal RNA, 425 nt
Filed under: uncultured eukaryote
Lineage: Eukaryota
Description: SSU rRNA
Rfam family: Eukaryotic small subunit ribosomal RNA
Source: RNAcentral
CAAUAGCGUAUAUUAAAGUUGUUGCAGUUAAAAAGCUCGUAUUUGAAUUUAUGGCCCGAGUGUCCGGUCCGGUUCAAUGAACUGGUUACUUCGAGACGUCUCGGGCCUUCCUUUAGGAGAGCUUGUUUGGCAUUGAUUUGUCGGGCAAGGGACCCUAAUCGUUUACUGUGAAAAAUUAGAGUGUUUAAAGCAGGCAUUUGCUGUGAAUACAUUAGCAUGGAAUAAUAAGAUAGGACUUUGGUACUAUUUUGUUGGUUUGCAUACCAAGGUAAUGAUUAACAGGGACAGUUGGGGGUAUUCGUAUUUAAUUGUCAGAGGUGAAAUUCUUGGAUUUAUGAAAGACGAACUACUGCGAAAGCAUUUACCAAGGAUGUUUUCAUUAAUCAAGAACGAAAGUUAGGGGAUCGAAGAUGAUUAGAUACCAU